This 543-nucleotide long non-coding RNA is filed under the name Rosa chinensis. RNAcentral describes it as "sRNA RchiOBHm_Chr5g0068651". The stretch from base 1 to 133 matches the Rfam family "TPP riboswitch aptamer (THI element)". The record is from RNAcentral. Lineage: Eukaryota; Viridiplantae; Streptophyta; Magnoliopsida; Rosales; Rosaceae.
ACGACGCACCAGGGGUGCCUGUAUCUGCUCGACCACUGGCUCUUUGGCUGGGAUUAGAGCAGGUCAGGCUGAGAUAGUCCCUUUGAACCUGAACAGGUUAAUACCUGCGUAGGGAGUGUGCAUUUCUUUUUCCUGUCUAUCACAGGGGGAGAGAGAGAGCUUUCGUUCAUGGCUCGGGCUAGCUGAUUAGUCACGUACAAGGCUGGGAGGCAUCUGCCUGGCAAUUCUUUGAUGCUUGCUCUUCUUUAAGAAAGCUUUACCAAACAGGAAAGCUAUGCGAUAAUUUGCUAUUUUGCUGCAUAGUAGUAAACCGUAUUUAUUUCCUCUCGUCAAUUCCAGCUGUCCUCCAAACUUGGUUUUAGGUUCAUUGGAAAACUUCUUUGAACUUGCACUAAACUAGAAAUUGCCUACACACUGUAUGAAUGAUGUGAGUUAUGGAAUCAAAAUCUUCCCUUAUCUCACUCCUAAUAUUGGAUUAUGCGGGUAAUUUAAUUAGGAGAGAGGGGCAAAAUGGUAAAUGAAUAUUUCUCUUAGGAUGAUAGA